This 1174-nucleotide long non-coding RNA is filed under the name Sus scrofa (pig). RNAcentral's name for it is "lncRNA (ENSSSCG00070014302.1)". The record is from RNAcentral. Lineage: Eukaryota; Metazoa; Chordata; Mammalia; Artiodactyla; Suidae.
GCGCCUGUGCCAGGCACCUGGGAAGGAUGACUGCCCGGUUCGUGGUCUCAGUGACCUCUAAGAACACGCAGCUCUGCAGCUGCUGAGACAGAAGUAAGUACCAGUCCAAGAAGGGCAGUGAGAGCCCACUGCUUCAACCGAGUGCUCACCCACCGGAGUCCACUCUUCUCUUGGCUUUGGGCUUGCCGAGGUCCUCGGGGAGGCAUUUUCUCUCUUUUCUUCCUUCCCUCUCUCUUUCUAACACUUCCUACCCACCACAGGUUUAAGUGGCUGAUGAGGAAAGGAAGCAGAGGAGUUCCUAUCAUAGCUCAGUGGUUAACGAAUCCAGCUAGGAACCAUGACAGGAACUCCACGUGGACCACUUUAGAAGCCGCUAUUCCCCUCCCACAUGUGGCUUCCGUAGUAUUGAAUUCAAUUUAAUUAAACAAAAACGCAGGUGAGCCUCGCAAUACACAAGCCAGGAGUCAAUCACGUGCCAUCAUCAGCCUCACAGUGGUUCCGUAAAAAAGAAAUGGCUGUACUUGCAUCAUGUCUAGAGGGUGACACCAAAGCUGGUCCAUCCCACUGAGACCCCAAGCAGGGGCAACAGCGGGAGCAUGAGCCCUGCACCCGCCGCAGAGGGAAGGGGGGCUGGGAACCCCUUACUGCACUCGCCGCUCUACUGACACCCAGACUCACCCUCUCCCCGAUAAGCGUCUGCUCCUGCAAGGAUCUAGAUUGCAAAAUCCCGAGGGCCCUAACCAGUUUCAGGUGCUGCAAGAUGCUGCUGACUUAGGGAAGAGGCACGGCGGUGAAGGGCUGCGUCACCAGCGCUCCUGAGCGUUGAGGCUCACCUUUCUCCUAGGAUGGACUAUUCUGCGAAGAGCUGCAUUCGCUGCAGCCAUAGUGUGAGAAAGAGUUGGAGCCAGUACCCUGGUCUGCAGGGAGGGCCGAGGGCCAAAGGCUCUCUGGAGCUGGGACCCCAGCACUGAGUGCAUUUGCUGGAACGGGGAAGCGUGUGGAAUUCGUGCAACUUUCUGUUUCAGCACUGGUGUCUAGUCCUCUCCCCUCCCGGCCCAGGGUGCUCUGUCGUUCUUGUCUGACCUCCAAAUACAGAAUGGGUGUCCCUCCACCCCAAGGUUCCUGGGCCUUACAGACGCCCUGGGGGCUGGGGGAGGUGCGGAGGGCAAGGCUC